Molecule: ribosomal RNA, 497 nt
Filed under: uncultured bacterium
Lineage: Bacteria
Description: partial 16S ribosomal RNA
Rfam family: Bacterial small subunit ribosomal RNA
Source: RNAcentral
GAUGAACGCUGGCGGCGUGCCUAAUACAUGCAAGUCGAGCGAACGGACGAGAAGCUUGCUUUUCUGAUGUUAGCGGCGGACGGGUGAGUAACACGUGGAUAACCUACCUAUAAGACUGGGAUAACUUCGGGUAACCGGAGCUAAUACCGGAUAAUAUUUUGAACCGCAUGGUUCAAAAGUGAAAGACGGUCUUGCUGUCACUUAUAGAUGGAUCCGCGCUGCAUUAGCUAGUUGGUAAGGUAACGGCUUACCAAGGCAACGAUGCAUAGCCGACCUGAGAGGGUGAUCGGCCACACUGGAACUGAGACACGGUCCAGACUCCUACGGGAGGCAGCAGUAGGGAAUCUUCCGCAAUGGGCGAAAGCCUGACGGAGCAACGCCGCGUGAGUGAUGAAGGUCUUCGGAUCGUAAAACUCUGUUAUUAGGGAAGAACAUAUGUGUAAGUAACUGUGCACAUCUUGACGGUACCUAAUCAGAAAGCCACGGCUAACUACGUG